UAGAUCUCAAAUCAGUCAG
RNAcentral lists this ribosomal RNA (19 nucleotides) under Cystobasidium minutum. RNAcentral describes it as "partial 28S ribosomal RNA". Lineage: Eukaryota; Fungi; Basidiomycota; Cystobasidiomycetes; Cystobasidiales; Cystobasidiaceae. The record is from RNAcentral.